Molecule: small RNA, 554 nt
Filed under: Pan troglodytes (chimpanzee)
Lineage: Eukaryota; Metazoa; Chordata; Mammalia; Primates; Hominidae
Description: processed transcript
Source: RNAcentral
AGCUCCGCGGUAAUGGAGGCUAGGGAUGGGUGCUGAAGUAUCAGGCUCUGGCUCUAGCUUUAGCUCUGGCACUGGAACUGCCUCGGAGUCUGGGUCUGAGUCUGGCAGCCCGAAGCCUGGACACCUUUUCUUGAUUCUCUAGGCGGGGGCUGCCUGCGUCCAAGCAGCUGGUUUGCAGCGUUCCAACGCUGGGAGGGAGUUCCCUUACCUGGGGUCCAGUCUGUAAAGUUGUCGCCGCUUUCUAGGGAUCCCGCCCCACCGGCUGGGACUCUUCCAUGCAGUUGAAACUGGUUGACAACCAUUAACCUGGGUUGCAACUACAGGUGGCACUGGAAGCAGACUGGUUCCUGGACAUGCCCGGUGGAAGGAGGGGCCCUAGUCGGCAACAGCUAAGCCGUUCAGCUUUACCUUCUUUGCAGACUUUGGUUGGUGGAGGCUGUGGCAAUGGAACAGGCUUGAGAAACAGUACAUCAACAUUUAUAAAACAGUGUGGUGGUAUCCUUACAAUCAUCCUGCUUCUUGUACAUCACUGAAUUUUCAUCUCAUUGAUUAUC